GGGGCUAGCUUCCUAGUUGGUAGCCGAGAAGCCCAGGUGAUUGGCCGUCAACACCUGCAAAACCUGCCCUCCUAUUGGUUGGGGCUGCCGCCUUCCUCCUUUCUCGGUAAAGAGCGCACUUCAGCUGGGUAGCGGAUCCCGCAGGCUCGGAGCGUCGGUGACCCGCUCGGCUCCAUGGCGUCCCAGAGUCGUCGGCGGAGGCCGCUGCGGAGGCCUGAGACGAUGGUGCCGGGGGAGGCGGCCGAGACCGACUCGGAGCUCUCUGCGUCUCGGAGGAGGAGGAGCUGUACCUGGGCCCCUCGGGCCCGACGCGUGGCCGCCCCACGGGGCUGCGGGUGGCUGGCGAGGCCGCGGAGACCGACUCCGACACGGAGCCGGAGCCGAAGGCCGCGCCGAGGGACCUGCCUCCGCUCGUGGUGCAGCGGGAGACGGCCGGGGAGACCUGGGGUGAGGAGGAGACGCCGGCACCCGCCCCUGCGCUUUCGCUGCUGCAGCUCCGGCUGGCCGAGAGCCAGGCGCGGCUGGACCACGACGUAGCGGCCGCGGUGAGCGGCGUGUACCGUCGUGCGGGCCGUGAUGUGGCCGCCUUGGCCGGUAGGCUGGCGGCUGCCCAGGCCGCGGGAUUGGCGGCGGCCCACAGCGUGCGCCUGGCGCGGGGGGACCUCUGCGCACUGGCGGAGCGCCUGGACAUCGUAGCCGGCUGCCGCUUGCUGCCCGACAUCCGCGGCGUGCCGGGAACCGAGCCUGAACAAGACCCGGGACCGCGAGCCUAGCCAUGACCCACUCUCCUGCCUGACUGCGCCCUGGCGGCCUUUGGGAUGUCGCUCUGUGUCCUGUGUAGCCACCCACCCAACUUGCUGUCACCCUCAGGGCUGACCUUGCCCCCUGGAAAAUGCUCUCCCGUGUUUGUGUAGAGGGAUGGGGUGGGGGGAGGUGUGCAGCCGCGCCGGGCCCUAGCCCCGACCCUGGCCCCUACUCCGGGGUUCACAGUCUCUUGUUUGAAGCUUGGCUCUAACUCUUGGGUAAAUAGCCGCUCCCUGAUCUGUCUCCAUCUUGGGGGCUCACGGAGCCUCACCUUUCUUUUCCUCUGCCUUUCUCAGUUUGGAGUUUGGUUUUUGUUCACAGGGGCUGGUCCUGCUUGUUUCUUCCCACAGGAGCUCCAGAAUCUGGCACAGAUUCCUUGAUGUCUUCCUUUACUCUCUUGGUUCCGCCCCCCUCCCCUUUUUUUUUGUCUUUUCUAGGGCCGCACCUGCUGCGUAUGGAGGUUCCCAGGCUAGGGGUCGAAUCCGAGCUGUAGCCCCCAGCCUACACCAGAGCCACAGUAACGUGGGACCCGAGCUUCAUCUGCGACCUACAGCACAGCUCACGGCAACACCAGAUCCUUAAUCCACUGAGUGAGGCCAGGGAUUGAACCCACAACCUCAUGGUUCCUAGUCUGAUUCGUUAACCACUGAGCCACAAUGAGAACUCCGGUUCCGGCUCUCUGGUCUUAGCCCCACUUCUGCAAUUCUGUCCCUCUAGUCUGGGCCCUUUCUCUGCUCCCAGGCUUGGCCCAGAUUCUGUCUCCUUCGAGUCCUUGCUCUGCCUUCUCCUGGCUCCUUCUCCUUGGGCUUAGCGCCACCCCCUUGGCCUGAUCUUGUUCCCUGCGUCCAGCUGUACCCUUAGGUUUGGUUCUCCUUUUUGCUUCUUUCAUCCUAUUUAAACUACCAGCUUAUUUAAUUCUGGGCUCUGGGGACCCCCCUGAUGGUUUCUUCAUCAGGGUGAUGCCCCCUCCUGACCCUAGGAGGUGCUCCUCCCAGCUCUCCAGGCCCAAGCUGAUCUGUCUGCUCCACCCUCAAGGCCAAGAUGGUGCUUCCUGCCCAGGCUGCCAGUACAAGACAGGCCUCCUCCUGCUUCUUCAGGCCGAGAGUGGCCCCCAGCUGGCACUUAGGGGCCAAAUCAGACCUUCCCUGGAACAUUGGGUAGAGUGUGACACGGCUUUCCAAAUAAGGACUACGUGCAUUUUGUUUGUUCCCUGGAUGUUGAAGGGACCUGGAUUUCUGGUGGGGCAGGGCCCGGGCUCAGCUCCUUCUCUCUCCCACCUGCUCUGUCUCUUCCCUGCCCUAGUCCCUUGGUCCCAUUUGCACUUGGUCCCCUCCCCCCUCUCUUGUCCCAAGCUGAAGCCAAGCCCCCAGGAUGGAGAAGUGGGCAGGAGCGCUCUAGGCAGACUCCUUAACACAGAAGGCAUUUCUUCAUUUGGUUAGUUCCUCUUGUCUGCCAUCUAAGCUGGGGGUGCGUUGGUGAUUUCGCCCAAAAUGUCAGUCCCAAGAAAGGGACCCUUCACUUAACAGAGGUGAAGCCGUAGCUGGGAAAUCAGGGCCCAGAUAUUUUGGCCCUGGUUCUGCACUUAUUUGUAUUUUGUUACUUCACCACAUGUUUACUGAGCUCCUGUUCUGUGCUUGUCCAGUGCUGGGCAUUGGGGGUGCAGCAGCCAGGCCGGGCCCUCACGGAGAUAACAGUCCACUGGGGAGACAGACAUGAAUGGAAUGUUCUCCUAAAUAAAUGGAUAGUUAAUCGUUG
Molecule: long non-coding RNA, 2559 nt
Filed under: Sus scrofa (pig)
Lineage: Eukaryota; Metazoa; Chordata; Mammalia; Artiodactyla; Suidae
Description: lncRNA (ENSSSCG00000047379.2)
Source: RNAcentral